AUGUUCCCCGGGUCCUAUGUUCCCCGGGUCCUAUGUUCCCCGGGUCCUAUGUUCCCCGGGUCCUAUGUUCCCCGGUAUGUAUGGCUACAGGGGAACAUAGGACCCUUUUUGGGGAAAACCGGGAACAUAGGACCUGCUCAAUUUUGUUCUGCUCAAUGGUUGAAUCUCCUCGUGACUGAAUGUUUGUAUACAGCGCGCAUGCUGUAUGAGCGCAGGGUUGAUGCGCUCCACUUUUUUCUGUGGAGAACCAGCACCUUGAACAUUAAGCAUAAAACGAAACCGGAUCGUUUUCGCCCGUUUCGGCUCCGUGUGGACGGGGCCUUAUUUCCAAUCGGUCAUUCUGACCGGAGACAUUUAGGAUUUUCGGUCCUCCUCAUUUUUUUCCGGUCAAAGACCGGUAAUUACCGGACAACGGGAACUCUGCCACCAAUCAAGCGCUCUCCUGGGCCUCACAGGUGUCAGUCCCUCUCAGCUCCAGAUGGCUCCUGGUUCUGAGCCAGUGGGACAUGGCUUCCCUCUUCUGCUCCACUGGUGGAAGAAGACGAGCAGGAGUCAGUGUUUCAGUAAGUUCAGUGAGUAAAACAGUCUGAGUCUAAAAGAAGCAUUGGCUGUUGUAGAGAGUAACGUUUAAAGUAUCACCUUAGGACGUAAAACAACAUGUAGGCGGUCUUCUCUCUGGUCCUCAGGACCGGCGUCUCCGCGGGCGUCACACGGGCGUCGUUGAGGGUCAACCAUCCGGCGCCGUCCUCUCGAGCUACGUCACUGACGUAGUGGCCUGGGGGACACAAGACAUCCAUUACCUUACUGUCCCCCAGCGUGGGACGGGUCUAGUGUCUGACGCGUGUGUCAGGUACAGAUGUACAUUCUUUACUAUAAAAGCUUUAGUUACCGGUGUUGAUGCUCUCCCCGAGGUGAGAGACCAUCCCCGACAGACGGUAGGUGCUCUGGUUGCUGUGAUCCUUCUGUAGAGAAACAGGAUUCAUUUGUCAGAGAACCUAACCCUAACCCUAAGCAUUUUUACACUGCCAAGCAGGUACGGUCGCUGCUUGGCAGAUGUUAGUUUCACUGUCCUGCCUGUGUAAAGCCUUCAAAGAGCCGGCUUUCUUGUUCAUUGGAGCAGGCGGG
This 1125-nucleotide long non-coding RNA is filed under the name Gadus morhua (Atlantic cod). RNAcentral's name for it is "lncRNA (ENSGMOG00000036343.1)". The record is from RNAcentral. Lineage: Eukaryota; Metazoa; Chordata; Actinopteri; Gadiformes; Gadidae.